ACUGGCAGGUGUAAUCUGACCUUCACCUCAUUUUCAUGGUUCAGUGGUUAUAGUUAAGUUUUUGUGUUUUGGUCUGUUUUUCUUAUACUAUAUGCAAUAGGUCUACUAUAUUUGAUGUAUGGAAUGAUUGUAAGGUGUACAUGUCUAGCUGGCAGGUGUCAUCUGACCUUGACCUAGUUUUCAUGGUUCAGUGGUCACAGUUAAGUUUUUGAGUUUUGGUCUUUUUUUCUAAUACUAUAUGCCAUAGGUCAACUGUAUUUGGUGUAUGGAAAUAUUGUACGAUGUUCAUGUCAGCCUGGCAAGUUUUAUUUGACCUUGACCUCAUUUUCACAGUUCAUUGAUCAAUGUUAAGUUUUUGUGUUUUGGUUUGUUUUUCUAAUACUGUAUGCAGUAGGUCAACUAUAUUUGGUGUAUGGAAAUAUUUUACGAUGUACAUGUCAGUCUGGCAUGUUUUAUUUGACCUUGACCUCAUUUUCAAGGUUCAUUGCUUAUGUUAAGUUUUUGUGUUUUGGUCUGUUUUUCUUACACUUUAAGCAAUAGGUCAACUAUAUUUGGUGUAUGGAAUGAUUGUAAGGUGUACAUGUCUAGCUGGCAGGUCUCAUUUGACCUUGACCUCAUUUUCAUGGUUCAGUGGUCAAAGUUAAGAUUUUGAGUUUUGGUCUUUUUUUCUAAUACUAUAUGCAAUAGGUCAACUAUAUUUGGUGUAUGUAAAUAUUUUAUGAUCUAUAUGUCAGUAGCGCAGGUUUUAUUUUACCUUGACCUCAUUUUCACAGUUCAUUGCUCAGUGUUAAGUUUUUGUGUUUUGGUCUGUUUUUCUUAAACUAUAUGCAAUAGGUCAACUAUAUUUGUUGUAUGGAAGAAUUGUUAGCUGUACAUGCCUGCCUGGCAUGGUUCAUCUGACCUUGACCUCAUUUUCAUGGUUCAUUGGUCAAUGUUUAGUUUUCUUGGUUAAUGUUAAGUUUAUGUGACAGUUGUAAUAAAGCUUUAUAUUAAGGACUAUCAACAUAAUAUCAGUGAUUAGUAAAGAAGGCGAGACAUUUCAGCGUGUGCACUCUUGUU
Molecule: long non-coding RNA, 1059 nt
Organism: Mytilus californianus (California mussel)
Lineage: Eukaryota; Metazoa; Mollusca; Bivalvia; Mytilida; Mytilidae
Exons: 3
Source: RefSeq, a predicted model, not a curated record